CCCUUAGACGUUCUGGGCCGCACGCGCGCUACACUGACCAGUGCAACAAGCAUCCGUCCUUGGCCGACAGGCCCGGGCAAUCUUUGAACGCUGGUCGUGAUGGGGAUAGACUUUUGCAAUUUUUGGUCUUCAACGAGGAAUUCCUAGUAAACGCAAGUCAUCAGCUUGCAUUGAUUACGUCCCUGCCCUUUGUACACACCGCCCGUCGCACCUACCGAUUGAAUGGUCCGGUGAAAUCUUCGGAUCUGAGAGAUGUCUGAUUAAUUUCGGACGCCUUUUGGAAAAGUUGCUUAAACCUUACCAUUUAGAGGAAGGUGAAGUCGUAACA
RNAcentral lists this ribosomal RNA (328 nucleotides) under uncultured eukaryote. RNAcentral describes it as "partial 18S ribosomal RNA". It matches the Rfam family "Eukaryotic small subunit ribosomal RNA", at positions 1470 to 1796 of the family's 1831-position model. The record is from RNAcentral.